AGUUUGAUCCUGGCUCAGGAUGAACGCUGGCGGCGUGCCUAACACAUGCAAGUCGAGCGGAGAUAUUGAGGGAUCUUUAGAUGAUCUCCUUAUCUUAGCGGCGGAUGGGUGAGUAACACGUGGGUAACCUGCCCUGCACAGGGGGAUAACAGCUGGAAACGGCUGUUAAUACCGCAUAUGCACACGCUGCCGCAUGGCAGAGGGUGGAAAGAUUUAUCGGUGCAGGGAUGGGCCCGCGUCGGAUUAACUAGUUGGCAGGGUAACGGCCUACCAAGGUUAUGAUCCGUAGCCGACCUGAGAGGGUGACCGGCCACAUUGGGACUGAGACACGGCCCAAACUCCUACGGGAGGCAGCAGUGGGGGAUAUUGCACAAUGGGCGGAAGCCUGAUGCAGCGACGCCGCGUGAAGGAAGAAGUAUUUCGGUAUGUAAACUUCUAUCAGCGGGGAAGAAGAUGACGGUACCCGACUAAGAAGCCCCGGCUAACUACGUGCCAGCCGCCGC
This 503-nucleotide ribosomal RNA is filed under the name uncultured bacterium. RNAcentral describes it as "bacterial SSU rRNA". It matches the Rfam family "Bacterial small subunit ribosomal RNA", at positions 10 to 518 of the family's 1533-position model. The record is from RNAcentral.